RNAcentral lists this ribosomal RNA (419 nucleotides) under uncultured prokaryote. Its description in RNAcentral is "bacterial SSU rRNA". It matches the Rfam family "Archaeal small subunit ribosomal RNA", at positions 455 to 873 of the family's 1478-position model. The record is from RNAcentral.
GUGUCAGCCGCCGCGGUAAUACCGGCGGCCCGAGUGGCGGCCACUUUUAUUGGGCCUAAAGCGUCCGUAGCCGGGCUGGUAAGUCCUCCGGGAAAUCUGGUCGCUUAACGAUCAGACUGCCGGAGGAUACUGCCAGCCUUGGGACCGGGAGAGGCCGGGGGUAUUCCCGGGGUAGGGGUGAAAUCCUGUAAUCCCGGGAGGACCACCUGUGGCGAAGGCGCCCGGCUGGAACGGGUCCGACGGUAAGGGACGAAGGCUAGGGGAGCAAACGGGAUUAGAUACCCCGGUAGUCCUAGCUGUAAACGCUGCGGGCUUGGUGUUGGGGGUCCUUCGAGGGCGCCCAGUGCCGGAGAGAAGUUGUUAAGCCCGCUACCUGGGGAGUACGGCCGCAAGGCUGAAACUUAAAUGAAUUGACGGGG